UGGGGAAUAUUGCACAAUGGGCGGAAGCCUGAUGCAGCGACGCCGCGUGGGGGAUGAAGGCCUUCGGGUUGUAAACUCCUUUCGACAGGGACGAAGCUUUUGUGACGGUACCUGUAUAAGAAGCACCGGCUAACUACGUGCCAGCAGCCGCGGUAAUACGUAGGGUGCGAGCGUUGUCCGGAAUUACUGGGCGUAAAGAGCUCGUAGGUGGUUUGUCGCGUCGUCUGUGAAAUUCCGGGGCUUAACUCCGGGCGUGAAGGCGAUACGGGCUGACUUGAGUGCUGUAGGGGAGACUGGAAUUCCUGGUGUAGCGGUGAAAUGCGCAGAUAUCAGGAGGAACACCGAUGGCGAAGGCAGGUCUCUGGGCAGUAACUGACGCUGAGGAGCGAAAGCAUGGGUAGCGAACAGG
This 409-nucleotide ribosomal RNA is filed under the name Actinomycetes bacterium. RNAcentral's name for it is "Actinobacteria bacterium partial 16S ribosomal RNA". It matches the Rfam family "Bacterial small subunit ribosomal RNA", at positions 355 to 776 of the family's 1533-position model. Lineage: Bacteria; Bacillati; Actinomycetota; Actinomycetes. The record is from RNAcentral.